GUGGGGAAUAUUGGGCAAUGGGCGAAAGCCUGACCCAGCAACGCCGCGUGAAGGAAGAAGGUCUUCGGAUCGUAAACUUCUAUCCUUGGUGAAGAUAAUGACGGUAGCCGAGAAGGAAGCCCCGGCUAACUACGUGCCAGCAGCCGCGGUAAUACGUAGGGGGCAAGCGUUGUCCGGAAUGAUUGGGCGUAAAGGGCGCGUAGGCGGCCCGGUAAGUCUGAAGUGAAAGUCCUGCUUUUAAGGUGGGAAUUGCUUUGGAUACUGUCGGGCUUGAGUGCAGGAGAGGUAAGCGGAAUUCCCGGUGUAGCGGUGAAAUGCUUAGAUAUAACACAGAACACCGAUUGCGAAGGCAGCUUACUGGGAUGCAACUGACGCUCAUGCACGAAAGCGUGGGGAUCAAACAGGAUUAGAAACCCUGGUAGUCC
Molecule: ribosomal RNA, 425 nt
Filed under: uncultured bacterium
Lineage: Bacteria
Description: partial 16S ribosomal RNA
Rfam family: Bacterial small subunit ribosomal RNA
Source: RNAcentral